Molecule: ribosomal RNA, 468 nt
Filed under: uncultured bacterium
Lineage: Bacteria
Description: partial 16S ribosomal RNA
Rfam family: Bacterial small subunit ribosomal RNA
Source: RNAcentral
GACGAACGCUGGCGGCGUGCUUAACACAUGCCAGUCGAACGGAAAGGCCCUGCUUUUGUGGGGUGCUCGAGUGGCGAACGGGUGAGAAACACGUGAGUAACCUGCCCUUGACUUUGAGAUAACUUCAGGAAACUGGGGCUAAUACCGGAUAGGAGCUCCUGCUGCAUGGUGGGGGUUGGAAAGUUUCGGCGGUUGGGGAUGGACUCGCGGCUUAUCAGCUUGUUGGUGGGGUAGUGGCUUACCAAGGCUUUGACGGGUAGCCGGCCUGAGAGGGUGACCGGCCACAUUGGGACUGAGAUACGGCCCAGACUCCUACGGGAGGCAGCAGUGGGGAAUAUUGCACAAUGGGCGGAAGCCUGAUGCAGCAACGCCGCGUGCGGGAUGACGGCCUUCGGGUUGUAAACCGCUUUCGCCUGUGACGAAGCGUGAGUGACGGUAAUGGGUAAAGAAGCACCGGCUAACUACGUG